This 429-nucleotide ribosomal RNA is filed under the name Bacteroidota bacterium. RNAcentral's name for it is "Bacteroidetes bacterium partial 16S ribosomal RNA". It matches the Rfam family "Bacterial small subunit ribosomal RNA", at positions 355 to 776 of the family's 1533-position model. The record is from RNAcentral. Lineage: Bacteria; Pseudomonadati; Bacteroidota.
UAGGGAAUCUUCCGCAAUGGACGCAAGUCUGACGGAGCAACGCCGCGUGAGUGAAGAAGGAUUUCGGUUCGUAAAACUCUGUUGUUAGAGAAGAACAGCGCAUAGAGUAACUGUUAUGCGUGUGACGGUAUCUAACCAGAAAGCCACGGCUAACUGCGUGCCAGCAGCCGCGGUAAUACGUAGGUGGCAAGCGUUGUCCGGAUUUAUUGGGCGUAAAGCGAGCGCAGGCGGUCAAUUAAGUCUGAUGUGAAAGCCCCCGGCUCAACCGGGGAGGGUCAUUGGAAACUGGUUGACUUGAGUGCAGAAGAGGAGAGUGGAAUUCCAUGUGUAGCGAUGAAAUGCGUAGAUAUAUGGAGGAACACCAGUGGCGAAGGCGACUCUCUGGUCUGUAACUGACGCUGAGGUUCGAAAGCGUGGGUAGCAAACAGG